Molecule: unclassified non-coding RNA, 148 nt
Organism: Callithrix jacchus (white-tufted-ear marmoset)
Lineage: Eukaryota; Metazoa; Chordata; Mammalia; Primates; Cebidae
Rfam family: Metazoan signal recognition particle RNA
About the family: The signal recognition particle (SRP) is a universally conserved ribonucleoprotein. It is involved in the co-translational targeting of proteins to membranes.
Source: Ensembl
GCUGGGUGUGGUGGUGCAUGCCUGUAAUCCCAGCUACUCUGGAGGCUGAGGCAGGAGAUUCGCUUGAGCCCAGGAGGCGGAGGUUGUAGUGAGCCGAGAUUGCACCACUGCACUCCAGCCUAGGCAAAAGAGCGAGACUCUGUCUCAA